Non-coding RNA from Peromyscus maniculatus bairdii (prairie deer mouse), 1777 nucleotides. The record is from RefSeq and is a predicted model, not a curated record. NCBI's taxonomy places the organism in Eukaryota, Metazoa, Chordata, Mammalia, Rodentia, Cricetidae.
CGCGGCCGCCGCCUGCACCUGCGAGACCGCUUACGUAAACUGCGUCCCGCCCACCUCGCGGCGCCUGGUUCGGGCGGCGGCCGCACCUGAGCCCCGCUGCGCCCGCAACGUAAGCGCUGCUGAGCGGAGGCCAGCUGCUGGAAAGAGGGAAAGGCGCGGAAACUUCGUAACUGCGGAAUCUGAGAGCAGCUCCCGGCCGCAAUAACGAGCCGGUCUUCCCAGGCUCCACGCCCGGGUGCGGGACGCUUCCCCAGCCUCAGCCUCUACGCAAACGGAAUCUCCAGGCCAUUCAUGUGCAUGCUACAGCUUGAGAAGCACUGGCCCAAAUGCAACAAGGACAGACCAAUCAAAUGGAGCCUCCAAUUCCAAGGGUAUGGUAGACAAGUGCUGAACCACUGAGCACUAUGUACAUCUCUCAAGCCCCUCCCUUUCUCUCCGUCUCCUCUGGCAUUGUCUUGGUCUACCCCUGAGAAAGCGUGCCCUCGGCUCCUCUCAUUCUGAUAUUGGCUAAUUGUUGUGCACUCCCUGGGAAUUUUCCAGAAGACCAGAUAGGCAAGAUCAAACAAGCAACUCAGAAAGGUGAAGCUGCUCAGUGACUCUCUGAAACAUUUAAGGGAAAACAUUGCCAGGUCCUCUGGUCCUGCCAACCCCUGGACACUGUUCUCCUUUGCAAAGAUCACUUCUUCAAAACAGGUCACAGAAAUUGCCCUUGCUGAGUUCCAACGAGUUUGAGUUUUUUUAAAAAUAGCUCGUUCUUCAAGUGCAAAAAAUAACAUCUGAGACAUUUGUUUAAGUGUGAAACACACCUUUGUCAUGACUCAGUACAUGCUGAACGGAAGUUUAUUAAACUUUCCAAGAGGAAAAAAUCCUCUUGAAGUAAGGAAGCCUGAGAGAAGGGACCAAGAAGAAAAGACACAGGUGGAGCCGAGAGCAGAGCAGCCAGCAAAUCUUGUCUCUGAGGUGCUCACAUGCUCUCCUUCCACCCCGGAUAACCUUGUCCUCCAGCAAGCAGGGUGUGAACUGAUCCUGCCUGAGCCUCGUGCCAAUGUCACGCCUGUGCAGCCUUCUCUGACUUCAGGCUCUUGCUCAUGUCCUCUCUCUCCUCAAAACACUCUGUAGGCCACACAUUUGUGCUUGGCACACUGUACUGAAAUUGUCAGUUUACAGGUCUGCCUCUCAAACAGUCAGGGACACUAGGUGAGUCAUCUGCGAACCCCUCUCCUGGCACAGAGCGGGUGCUAGGAGAGCAUGCUGAUAAGAGAUGGGUCUCCAUGCUUUAAUCCUAGAAGUGACUGCAUCAUCCUGAGCUUGGCCUCCAUUUACAGACAAUGGGAGCUCUGUUGCCACUGCUACCUAAGGCUGCUACCCUGUCCCCUGAGUCCAGCCCAUAAUUCCUGCAGUUAUCCGUCCUCAUCCUGUAUCAUUGGUAAUUUUAUCUAUCCUUUUUUCUUUUAUUAUUUAUUUAUUAAGAAGAUUAAACCUAGGCAAGUACUCUACCACUAAGCUGUAUCUGUAAUCCAUAAUUUUCUCUUUCUAGUAAAUUAUUUCUGCCAGUGUACAAAUACUCUCUUCUCCUUCCCAUCUCUUGAGUGCUGGGAUUACAGGAAUAUGCUGCCAUGCCCAGUUUAUGUAAUAUUGGAUUAAACCCAGGGUUUAUCAUGCAUGUUAAGCAAGUGCCCAACCAACUAACUGAGCUACAUCCCCAACCCAAAUCGUUCUGUGCUUGCUUGCUUGCUUGCUUGCUUUUUUUCUUUCUUUCGUUCAUUCGUUCUUUCUU